GAGGCUUGGUGUUUUUGUGGUGGCUGGAUAUCUUGUGGAGUUGCUGAAUUUUAGAGCUAGGACAUGCAUACUUUCCUCUCUAUUUCCAACAGUAAUAACAUCUUCAAUUUUUUAACUACCUUUGAAAUUUUUAUUUUUAUUUUCUUUUCUCCUUAUUUCAGGCUUUGGAGAAUCAUAGGAUUGAUCAGUCGCUUGAACACACUAGCCUGUUUAUUGAGAAGCUGAAGAAAGUGUAGGAAGGCUGCCUAUGUUCUUCACAAAAAGGGUGAAGAAGCUCCUGAAAAUUGAAAGCCUACCGAUCGAUUUUCAGCCCCAAAGAAAUCACUAAAGAAUAAACUGAUGUAUCAACUCACUAAUAGAAAGUUUCCCUAUGCAGCUAAGUUGUGUACACAUGUCCCUUUUUAUAUUCAAGCCAUCCCCUUGAUUUAUGCAAAACUAGGCUACCCAAAACUUAUGCACAACUCCCAUUGCCUUUGAACUGCUAUAACUAGCAUGUGUGGAUUGGUAAAAGUGUGAAUGCACUUGCCCUAAAUGUUUCUAAGGUGUCUAGUUCUCUACAUGAAGUAAAUUUUUCUGAGGGAGUAUUGAAGCUCUCUGGAUAUUUAUUUGGUCAUUCUAAUACUUUCUCCCUAAAGGUAUGCAUGAUUCACAUCCAAACACAACCCAUUACUAGGUUGUGUUUAGAUGCAAUAUUCAUGAACUUCAUAAUUUUAUUCUUUUCAUAUGCACAAUUAUAUCUACUGAUAUUUUCUUUUGAAAUCCAGAACCCGAGAUUUUAAGGAUUCAUCCUGUUUUGUCGAUAAUAUAUGUCACAGUUCUACAUAAUGCUACUACUCAAGCCACAUGCACCUCCCAGAACCGCAUUCAUAAUAUCUCUACAUUCACCAUCAUGAUUUUCUCAUGCUCUUAACCAUUGCAUGUCUUUAAGCAGGUAAUGAAUUUUAUUUACAAGUGCAAUUGCAAUAUUCUUUACAGUCCAUACAUGUGCUCUAAAUAGGACUAGUGUUUUGAUGCAACCAGAAGCAAAUAGAACAUACCCCAAAAAUCUCCUUGAUCGAAAGAUUCUAGCCACCCAACUUGGGAUUUUCUCCAAUGAAUGUGGACCAUUGCCUUGUUUCUCAUAUUAACCAUCUAUUUGCAGGCCGAGAAUUGAAAGGAUAGGACUAAUCUAUCACACAGAUUUUAUUUAUUUAUUUAUUUUAAUAGAGUUGCCCAGUUGAAACUUUUUAGUAUUGUCCACGUCAUCAAAAUUAUGGAACAACAUCUUUCUGCAUAGGAGAGUGGAGUAUAUUCAUCUGGUGGUUGUUUGCACUUUCUUGUCAUGGAUACAUUGGUACUAGACUACUAGUAAGAUGAUGAAUAGCUAUUAAGCCCAUUUUCUUUACUAUAAAGUAGAAUGAUUAUAUGACUCAACAACUCUCUUGAAAUUAUUUCCUUUAUCUGGCCUUGGGACUAGCAAUUAAAGCACAAAACUCCCACAAACACUGUAAUAGUCUAUAACAUGAUUGAUUAAAAUCAAGGAGUUUUAUUUCCCUAUGAAUGUAAGUACAUGUGUAGCUAUAAUCUUGGGCCUUAGAUUAAAUGUUGUGUUUUAUCUUUUGAACAAGUUUCAUUUGAUUUGACAGAGUAUUUGGAACAGCAUCCAGAAGCAUCUAACUGGGGGAUUGGGAUCUCUAGUUUUAGAAAAAAUGCGUUGUUUCAAGAUUACCAUGGACUUAAAACUUUCAGACAGGUGUUUUUUUUUUUUUUUUCAGAUGGCUUUUUCAUUGUUGAAAUUCAAUGUCUCGAGUAGUUUAGUCUAAGAGCUUAUUUGCAUUGAUUACAACCUAAUGUAGCUUAUAUUGUUGUAUUUUCGUGUUGGCAGGUGUUCUGUACUUGUUGGGAAUGUCUAACUUGAAAGUAAUAUAACUGCAGUAUAGAUCCAUAUCCUCAGUACGAAUGUUGAGCAAGGGAAUCACAAUUUUAUUAUUUCUGUUUUAUUAAUUUGCUAAUUGCAAUCCUUUUGGCAAAUGUUCUGCAACAAAAGAUGGUGGAAAACUGAGUGCAUGGUGUCUAGGCUUCAAUUACCAAAAAGAUCUGGCC
This is an RNA transcript of Magnolia sinica, 2082 nucleotides long. It is a transcript of the gene named vacuolar protein sorting-associated protein 2 homolog 2-like, with no coding region annotated. Lineage: Eukaryota; Viridiplantae; Streptophyta; Magnoliopsida; Magnoliales; Magnoliaceae. The transcript has 2 exons. The record is from RefSeq and is a predicted model, not a curated record.